ACCGUCUACCUCAAAGGUCAUACAACUUUACCUAGAUGGAAGCAGAUCCAGUCAUAUAAUGGACUGUGUUAAUAAACCACAAACAAGUGUGUUCAAGUGGUUACGUUGGUAGACCUCUAAAGAUAGCUAGCUAAAUUAUAUAAAUUAUCUCUAGUUUUAGCUUGAAGGCUACCUGUGGCAACUGUGUCUCCUGCGUCCGUUGAGAUGGGAUCCCCGCGGCCGCCAAUUCUACAACACAAGGGAGGACAUAAUCUUUGCUUCGCACUGCUUUCCACUGUUCUAGUCCUUGCCUCUUCAUUACCCCGCUCAUCAUGACUGUUACUUUGUAAAUUAAUCCUCUCAGUAGUGUGUUCAUCGUCGUCGUCAUCGCCAACUUUGUGAAAUACAACUUUAAUGUCCCCCUGUCUAAGGUGAACGGCCGAUAGAACUCUGUCGUCUAUACUAUUACUGUCCUUCAAAUCCCCCAUUGUAAAAUGCAACUGCAACAGAAAGGAGUGUAGGGGAGACCGGGGAUGGUGGUAACAAGGGACAGUUGUAACACUUGCAAUUCCUCCAAUCAAGAGCGAGGUAGAAUCAUAUGAUUCACUGUGCACAUGCUCAGUUUAGUCCUGAAUCCUCAUGUGAAGAAGCAAGUCACUGUGAUAAACUCUGCAGAUUCUAUUGACAGAAAUCAGAUUUUGAGCAUGCCUAGAUCAUGGAAAAGAAAGACACAGGGGAGUACCUCUCCACACUUUGAAAAUAACGUAAAAUGACGUAACAGAGCAGGGGAAAUCAAUCAGAUCAGUUGCAAAGUUGUAUGGCAUAGGUCAUGUGAUGCUGUGCAGAUUCUGCAAAGAGAGAAAGAAACCACUGGAGAAGGGGUCGAGAGAGCUUGUAAGCUACCGUAGUGGGAACAGGGUCUUCAUUGACGAGCAGGAGCCGAAGUUGUCAGAGUAUCUCUUGAGGGCAGCUGAUUUAUGCCCACUGUGCCCACUGCUAUCCAAGCCACCUCUCCAGCUGCCUCCCAGGCCACCUCUCCAGCUGCCUCCCAGGCCACCUCUCCAGCUGCCUUCCAGGCCACCUCUCCAGCUGCCUUCCAGGCCACCUUUCCAACUGCCUUCCAGGCCACCUUUCCAGCUGCCUUCCAGGCCAACUCUCUAGGCCAGGUGGAAACGCCUGAUUACUCUUCUGAUUUCAACCCAGUUGAUGUACACCCAUUCAAGCACUCAGAAGGCAAAACAAAUGUUGCUCCCCUUAAAAAAAAACAGAUCGAAAGAAGCAAGCCAAAACAAACCACACCGAACAACAACAAAAACUGUCCUGCUUCAGAUACAAAAUACAAAAUAAAGCAGAUUGAACCAGAAGAUUCAGAUUUCUUCAAUGAGGAAAACUUCUGCAUUGUGUGCAUGGAGCACUUUAACAUUUCCAAAUCCAAGGAGGUCUGGUUGCAGUGCUAGGAAUGCAAAUUAUGGAGGCACCAAGCCUGUACCACUGUGACUCUGAUCACACACACACACACACACACACACACCAGAAAUGUUCAGGUGUUUAGUUUAGCCUAGUUGUUGUUUGGUUGAGAAAUACCAUUUAGUGGAGGGUUAAAUAACUUGCCUAGUUAAAUAAAAAUUAACAAAUUUUUAUUUUAUUUAUUUAUAUUUAUUAUUAUUUCUGCCAAACAAAUAUGUUAAACAUGGCAAUGUUGCUCUCAUGGUCUCAAUAAAGGCGUUCAAAAAUUA
This is a long non-coding RNA of Salvelinus namaycush (lake trout), 1715 nucleotides long. RefSeq lists it as uncharacterized. Lineage: Eukaryota; Metazoa; Chordata; Actinopteri; Salmoniformes; Salmonidae. The record is from RefSeq and is a predicted model, not a curated record. The transcript has 3 exons.